Molecule: transfer RNA, 56 nt
Filed under: Pristionchus pacificus
Lineage: Eukaryota; Metazoa; Nematoda; Chromadorea; Rhabditida; Neodiplogasteridae
Description: tRNA-Pro
Source: RNAcentral
CAGUAAAUAGUUUAUAUUAAAAAUAUAAUAUUUGGGUUAUUAAGAAUAAUUACUGA